This is a long non-coding RNA of Phasianus colchicus (ring-necked pheasant), 489 nucleotides long. RefSeq lists it as uncharacterized. NCBI's taxonomy places the organism in Eukaryota, Metazoa, Chordata, Aves, Galliformes, Phasianidae. The record is from RefSeq and is a predicted model, not a curated record.
AACACACUGCCAGCUGUUCUGGCCCAGUGUGCACCUCCCAUUGCCGUUGCACAAGUCAGGGCAGCCAUCUGGGGGAAGAAACGAGACAGACUUCAACAAAAGCCUGUGGACAACAACAAAGGAGCUCUUGCUUCAUUCUGCACUCCCAACCUGAGUAAGCUUGCCAGUGGAGAUGGUGCUGCACCAUGUUCAUCCAAAUGGGAACACAACUGGAUGACGCUGGGAACGCAGACUGUGGAACACUAGAGUGCAAACAAUGAUGGCACAGCACAAAGUGAUAACAAGGCAAGCAAACAAACUCCAGUGCCUUCUGAAGAAAUGCACAGAGAGAAACAGUGAGAACAACAAAACCACCAAAUGGUGAGCUGGGAAGGACAAGAGAGCUGCUACAACAGACCAGGCCUGUUACAGGAAUACUGCAAAUAUGGAGAAGUGUAUCUGCCUGCGAAAAACUAUGACUAUCAUGUAAUUAAAGCAGCCAUUAAAUCU